GGACUUAGGCUAAAUUUUAAACCGAGGGCCUUCAAAGCCCUAAAUAAGAGACACCCUCUUAGCCCCUGA
This 69-nucleotide transfer RNA is filed under the name Diporiphora australis. RNAcentral describes it as "tRNA-Trp". Lineage: Eukaryota; Metazoa; Chordata; Lepidosauria; Squamata; Agamidae. The record is from RNAcentral.